This 432-nucleotide unclassified non-coding RNA is filed under the name soil metagenome. Its description in RNAcentral is "partial contains 5.8S ribosomal RNA, internal transcribed spacer 2, and large subunit ribosomal RNA". The stretch from base 1 to 120 matches the Rfam family "5.8S ribosomal RNA", at positions 35 to 154 of the family's 154-position model. The record is from RNAcentral.
GAUGAAGAACGCAGCGAAAUGCGAUACGUAAUGUGAAUUGCAGAAUUCAGUGAAUCAUCGAAUCUUUGAACGCAUAUUGCGCUCUCUGGUAUUCCGGAGAGCAUGCUUGUUUGAGUAUCAGUAAACACCUCAACUUCCAUAUCUUUUUUGAAAUGGGAGUUGGACUUGAGUGAUCCCAACGCUUUUCCUCACCGAAAAGUGGCGGGUUACUUGAAAUGCAGGUGCAGCUGGACUUUUCUCUGAGCUAUAAGCAUAUCUAUUUAGUCUGCCUAAAAAACAGAUUAUUACCCUUGCUGCAGCUAACAUAAAGGAGAUUAGUUCUUGUGCUGACUGAUGCAGGAUUCACAAAGACGGCUUCGGCCGACUUUGUAAACUCGAUCUCAAAUCAAGUAAGACUACCCGCUGAACUUAAGCAUAUCAAUAAGCGGAGGA